This is a long non-coding RNA of Oncorhynchus keta (chum salmon), 204 nucleotides long. RefSeq lists it as uncharacterized. NCBI's taxonomy places the organism in Eukaryota, Metazoa, Chordata, Actinopteri, Salmoniformes, Salmonidae. The record is from RefSeq and is a predicted model, not a curated record. The transcript is spliced from 3 exons.
UUCUUCUGUUGCAGUCAUGGGUUGUUUUAAGGUGGAGAUAUGGUUCUUCUGUUGCAGUCAUGGGUUGUUUUAAGGUGGAGAUGUGGUUCUUCUGUUGCAGUCAUGGGUUGUUUUAAGGUGGAGAUAUGGUUCUUCUGUUGUAGUCAUGGGUUGUUUUAAGGUGGAGAUAUGGUUCUUCUGUUGUAGUCAUGGGUUGUUUUAAGA